GCUGAAAGGCGUAGUCCUUUAGGUCUCUUUUAUUUUGAAGAGAACACCAUGAACUGUUGACCAACGAACUAACAUAUGCGGUUGUUACAUCAAUGUAGAUCGUUAUAUCUAAUCUUUUUUAUUGUCCUAUGAGCAAAUAGGUUGUCUUUCUAUAGGCGUUUGAAAUCGGACACCGCUGGCGUUGGGGCCCUCAUUUCAUGCGUAGGGAUACGUUGUUGCUUUUGACAAUGUGGACGGAGGUGGUUAAGAUGUCUACUAGAAGAAUGAAAUCAUCUUAAUUGUAACAACAAAAAGGAAGACGUGAGAUUAAUAACUAGAUAUUGUUUGGAUUCGGACUGGUUACAUUGUACUAAUGAUGUGAGUAGUGUAACAGAGCAAGGUUCAAGAGGAAUAAGGAAGACAUCUACAGCGAUCCAAUGUGUUUCACGCGCUGAGGUUGAAAUUCUCUUGAAGUUUUAUGUUUUUUCCCCCUGCGAUACUCAGCCUUUCUUUUUACUGUUGGAUGCCAGACAUUUGAAGAUUAAAGGGUUGUUAGAGACUGAGGGGCAUGAACGAGCAGCCGCAGCAGAGAAUGGCUGCAGUGGGAACACAAGACAAGGAACUCAACGACCUCCUGGAUUUCAGUGCGAUGUUUGCACCACCUGUGGCUAAUGGGAAGAACAGACCGACGACACUCGCUAGCAGUCAGUUUGGUGGAUCAGCUCUGGAUGAGCGCAGUAGCUCUGGAUCCUGGGGCCCUGGAGAACAGAACAGCCCCUCCUUCAACCAAGGACGGGGCUACGGAGAUGGCUCCCACUACAAUGAGCAUGAGGGCCUGUCAUCUCCCUUCCUCAGUUCAGGAAUCGGAGGUAAAAAUGAGAGGGUACCAUACUCUUCGUUUGGAGGCCAGCCUGGCUUCCUACCCAGUGACAUCGCCAUGCCCAGUCCAGAUUCCAUGUCCCCCUCUGGGCUAAAGUCUGCCUCUCAGUUCUACCCCGGAUCGUACCCCAACAACCCCAGGAGGAGGCCUCCCGAUGGCCAGCUAGACACCCAACCGAAGAAGAUCCGGAAACCCCCUGGCCUGCCUUCCUCGGUGUAUGUCUCUUCCUCCGGGGAUGAGUAUGCCCGUGACAACGGAGGAUAUCCUGGCACCAAACCUGGCUCUGUCUACCCAGGCUCUUUUUACAUGCAAGAGGGACUCCACCCCUCCUCUGACCCUUGGGCCUCCUCAGGACCUUUGGGUCAGUCUGGCUACUCUGCCAUGCUGGGGAACUCUCCCCACAUCGGCCAGCCCGGAUCCUUCUCUGCCAUCAACCCAAACCCACAGGACAGGAUGAAGCGUCAACCCCUGCCUCUGUCCCCACAGAACUACCCUCUCCAUGGCAGUGAGGUGAACGGCAGUCUCGCGCCCGGCUUCCACUCUGGGUCUGGGAGCUACAACCACACAUCCUCCAUCAACGGCGCAGACAGCAUCAUGGCCAAUAGAGGCACCACUGCAGGGAGCUCAGGGGAUGAGAUUGGGAAGGCUCUUGCUUCAAUCUACCCCUCGGACCACAACAGUAACAACUUCUCCUCCACACCCUCCACCCCAGUGGGCUCACCCCAGGGAAUUGCAGGAGCUGCAUCUCAAUGGCCAAGACCUUCAGGGCAGUCUGCCCUGUCACCCAACUAUGAAGGGCAACUGCAUGCUCUGCAGAACAAAAUGGAGGACCGCCUGGAGGAGGCCAUCCACGUGCUGCGUAGCCACGCUGUCCAAGGCCCUCCCGGCCUGGGAGGAGGAGCCCACUCUGACAUGCACAGCCUGCUGAGCGCUGUGUCCUCUGUACACAACGGUGGCCUGGGAGGUCUCUCUCAGGCCUUCUCCAAUGCUGGCCUUGCCCUCAGCAACAGACACCCUACCAUGGGAGGGAACCACCAGGAGGAGCCCACAGGCCUUCCUCCCAGCAGUACCCUGCUGCAUGGUCACCAUGCCUCCGGACCCCCACAGUCCACUGGACAACCAGAGGGCUUCACCAGUCUGCCAGGAAGUGUGGCACGCUCCACACACUCGUCCAGUGGCUCGGACAUCAAGCGGGAGGACAAGGAGGAUGACGAGAACUCCUCCAUCGCUGACAAGUCUGAGGACGAGAAGAAAGAAACCAAACGCAUCAGAGCAAGUCAAGAGGAUGAGGAUGACGAGGACCUUCCUCCUGAGGUAAAGGUAGAGCGUGAGAAAGAGCGGCGAGUGGCCAACAACGCCCGCGAGCGGCUGCGAGUGCGAGACAUCAACGAGGCUUUCAAGGAGCUGGGCCGCAUGUGCCAGCUGCACCUCAGCAACGACAAACCUCAGACCAAACUGCUCAUCCUGCAUCAAGCCGUCAACGUCAUUCUCAACCUGGAGCAGCAAGUCAGAGGUAACGCAGGGCUACUGUGGCCAUAUCUCUUGUAUUGUCACUUUUUACAUGUUGACCUCUGUAUUACUUUGUCCCCUGUGUAUAUUCUUUUCUCAGUGGACCAUCGAGAACCAUCCCGAAUAUUUCAUCCAGCUAUUUUUCACACCAGAACAUUUUUUGUGUCUUUUUAAUAAAGGAUUGAGUUUUUAUAGCACAGUGGAAGGUUGGAUAAAUGACUUUUAUGCAAUGUAAACUCAUAUUCCCUGCUAUCCCCUCUUGUCAGAACGCAACCUGAACCCUAAAGCAGCGUGUCUGAAGCGACGGGAGGAGGAGAAAGUCUCUGGGGUGGUGGGGGAGUCCCCCAUGCAGCUCUCAGGAGGCCACCCCGGCAUGGGGGGAGAUGGCCAUAACCCAGUCAGCCAUAUGUAAUACCAGAUCUGGUGGAAUUCCUUUGGCUCUCGGAAGAUGUGGCCUUGAUCUCUUCUUCCACCCAUUCUUCUCAGUGUGUACAUAUACUGAUGUGUCUGUGUAUUGUCAUAAUUCAGUUUCAAGACACACAUUCACACACCCUUAUCCACACAUGCAUACUGCCAAAACUGACACAGCCAAUUUGCCGCACUCCUGACCAUGACUACCAGCGCAAAUGUGAAGAACCUUGUACUUUCUUUUUUUUUAUAUACAUGUUUUUUUUGCUUCCGUAACAUGAUGGAUCACCGGAGUACUAGUGUCCGGCCACAAAUGGGACUUAAAACACUGCCGAGAGGUGCUCUGUGAAAGACAGAAGCCUAACAAACUACAAAUUUACAAAAGGAUUUGUGCCUAAUUGUUACAUGUUUUAUGAGACAUUUAAGCAAAUGUGUGGAACGUUUUGUUUUGGGGUUGCUUGUAUGUAUGAGCAAGUGUAGAUUUGUCAUUCCCAACUUAAUGGUACAGUCUUACAUAUGUUAUGUAACCAAAUCCAUGUGAUAGAGAGGGCAGUUGACCUGCAUCGUGGGACAGAGUUGCAGUCCCCCCCAGCUCUGUGGGCCCUGGGCCCAACAUGAGAUGAGGCAGAAGGGGGAGGAACCUCACCUGCCUAGUUGUCAUGUUCAGAGUUGUAGAAGGCUUUUUUGUAGAAGACUCCAAGGAUUUUCUUCCCUGCCAUAAACAAAAUAAUAGUAUUGCAGACUCCAGUAUUGUUUCAGCAUCCCCUCGGUGUAGGUUAAUUGGGAGACACCUGGCCAGGGGUAGAAAAGCAGUUUAACAGCACAAAAGAAACAGUAAUUUUUCAUCCUGCGUCUCACCCAUUGGUUACUAUUGAUGCCAUCAGAAACUAGAGAAGCUUUCUGGAAAGCUUGUGGUGUUAACCAGCCACUCUGUUCCGUCUAGUCAUGAGAUUGGAGGCUUGGUCUGGAAUACUCUGAUGGCCAUAUUGUGUAGUGCCACCCUUUGAGUUUCAAAUCAAUUGACCCUGAACUCAUGCCCCAUGCAUUGUCAUUUAAAAAAAACUAACACUAGGCGCCAAUGUGCAUUUGCAGGAUCAACCAUUGAUACGCUUAAUGGAAUGAAAUGUCCUCUUAAUACCAGACAAGCAAUUUAUUAGAAGUUCAGUUGUCUAUUCUUAAAAUUGAAGCUUUGAGCAUUCCCAAUGAACUACACUACAUGGCCAAAAGUGUGUGGAUUCGGUUAUUUCAGCCACACCCGUUACUGACGUAUAUAAAUCGAGCACACCGCCAUGCAAUCUCCAUAGACGAACAUUGGCAGUAGAAUGGCCUUACUGAAAUGCUCAGUGACUCUCAACGUGGCACUGUCAUAGGAUGCCACGUUUCCAACAAGUCAGUUCAUCAAAUUUCUGCCCUGUUAGAACUUCCCCGGUCAACUGUAAGGGCUGUUAUUGUGAAGGGGAAACGUCUAGGAGCAACAACGGCUCAGCUGUGAAGUAGGCCAUAUAUGCUUACAGAACAGGACCAUGUAGUGCAUAAAAAUAAUCUGUCCUCGGUUGUAACACUGACUACCGAGUUCCAAACUCCAGAAGCAACGUCAGCACAGAAACUGUUCAUCGGGAACUUCAUUAAAUAGGUUUCCAUGGCCAAGCAGCCACACACAAGCCUAAGAUCAUGUACAAUGCCAAGCGUCAGCUGGAGUGGUGUAAAGCUCGCCACCAUUGGACUGGAGCAAUGGAAAAGCAUUCUCUGGCGUGAUGAAUCAAGCUUCACCAAUCUGGGUUUGGUGGAUGCCAGGAGAAAGCUACCAGCUUGAAUGCAUAGUGCAUUGGUGGCGGAGGAAUACUGGUCUGGGGGCUGUUUUUCAAGGUUCGGGCUAGGCCCCUUAGUUUCAGUGAAGGGAAAUCUUAAUGCUUCAGCAUUUAUUUUAUUUCACCUUUUUUAUUUAACUAGGCAAGUCAGUUGAGAACAAAUUCUUAUUUACAAUGACGGCUUACCCCGGACGACACUGGGAAAUUGUGUGCAGCCCUAUGGGACUCCCAAUAAUGCUUGGUUGUGAUAAAGCCUGGAAUCAAACCAGAGUCUGUAGUAACUCCUCUAGCAUUGAGAUGCAGUGCCUUAGACCGCUGCACUACUUGGGAGCCCUGGCAUAUAAUGACAUUCUAGACAAUUCCGUGCUUCUAACUUUGUGGCAACAGUAUGGGGAAGGCCCUUUCCUGUUUCAGCAUGACAAUGCCUCCAUGCACAAAGCCAGGUCCAUACAGAAAUUAUUUGUUGAGAUCGAUGUGGAAGAACUUCAUUGGCCUGCACAGAACCCUGACCGCAACCCCAUCGAACACCAGACCUGAUCGCACAACAUCAGUGCCCGACCUCACUAAUGCUCUUCUUGCUGAAUGGAAGCAAGUCCCUGCAGCAAUGUUCCAACAUCUAGUAGAAAGCCUUCCCAGAAGAGUGGAGGCAGUUAUAGUAGCAAAGGGCGGACCAACUCCAUAUUAAUGCCCAUGAUUUUGGAAUUAAAAGUUUGUUGAGCAGGUGUCCACAUACUUUUGGUGAUGUAGUGUAGUAAGAGCUCAUGCUGUGUCUUGACUAUAUUGUUAAAAUGUCUGCAUAAUGAGACAAUCUGAUUUGUAAAUCAACCUCAAGCAUACAUUCAACUAAGGAUAUUGUUUCAAAUGGAGCAAAAUUAAAUGCAUAUAAAUAUAUAUUUGUCUAUACAUUGUAGAUUUUAAAUCCAUGACAAUGUUAGUUUGAAGUUUAGAGUGUAUCGUAGUUGAGCAGAAUGAAGAGCUGAUAUUAAAUCUUAAUGUAUUUUCAAAAUGAACUCAAAUUGGACUGUCAGAUUUGCCAUUAGAGAGGAAAGCUUAACUUAAACAAGAACACAGGCUCAGAAAGAGAAACGAAGACCGAUGGGGUCAGUUGUAGGCUUAAUUAUCAUUACGUAUUUAGUGGACAUUAAGCUGUCAGUCUUUGGUGCAUCCCAUUUUGAUGAGAUUGAAACAUUUGACAAAGGGGUACAGUGGCCUAAAAUAUUGAUAUUGUUCCUGUUUUUAUAUAUAUAUAUAUGAGUAAGGAAGUUUCUUUGUUCAUUACCCAGAUUCAUUAUUUCUUUUCAAAUGGGAACGUGUGGAUGGAAUUUAUGCCACUGACUGUCCUAUUGAAGUGUUCUUACUGAAUGGUCAUGUGGCUUCACAAAGCAAAGUCUAUGAAGACGGGCACUGUCUCGAACAGUAAUUAUGCAACUGGUUUUGAAUGUACCAUUCAAAUGUGGAUUGCCUUCAUUUUCAAGUACAUAUCCAGGUUUUGUCUGUCAGUUCAAUGUUAUUAUUUUCUCUUCAUUUCAAACGUUCCAUUCUAUUCUCUGCAUUCGUCCAUGUGGUCGUCAAUGUGCAGCUACAUUGUCCUGACAUGUUAUUUCGGAGUUUGUGUUUGGAUGGUCUGAAAAAACAAGUGUUAAUUCCUGUUGUAAGUUAAUAUCAUGGCUUCAGACAUGGUAUAGCACUGACCUCUAACCACAGAGGCAGAAAUGUACAUUGUUACUUGUUGGUCAUAGUAUUGAGAAGGAUUUAAGUUUACUUUGUAGAAAGUGAAGAAAAGAAAAGAAAAAGACAGUUUCAAAUCAAUAGUGUGGCCUUUUCAUUCUCAAGACUAAAGAUGUCAUUACUGGAGAGUGAUGCCUUAUCAGUGCCUGAACUUGUAUUUUCAUUAACUAUAAAGACAGUUCUUUUUUUAAACCAUAACAUUUCAUGUAUCGCCAAGAUUAGAGGUACAUCGGAUGAACCACCCCACCCCUCCCUUUUCACUUUUCAGGAAGAAGUUGAACAUUUAAAAAAAUAAAACAUUCUAUGUAUCUAGAUAAAUAAACAUUUUAACUUUAUGUAGAUCUCUUGUUAUUUUAAUUUUUUUAUUCAACUGGAUUUGACCAUACUACUGUUAUGUUGUUGCUGUAGGUUCAAGUCCUGGUUGUGUUUGUCUGUUUGCCCCCCUAUUGAUAAACCACUCAACACUACUGGGUUCUAAGAUAUGAUGGGUUCUGCCCAUGUGAUCUGCUUUUCGAAGCACCUCAAACUGUCUAUAUAUAUGGCUUCAGCUUUGAAGUGGGGGGCUGUGUUAUUUUGAGCCAUGACAACUGGAGCUUUUUGUCACUAGAACUAUCAUUUCUGUGUAAAAGAGUAAGUCUCCUCCAUUUACUUUGAGAUCUUUUUUUUUCUGAUAUCAAUCUCCUUAUUGACUUUGACAGUGACUUAUUGUAAGGGGUAUUGAUGUACCUCUUCAGAGUUGAUUUUGAAUAUUUGUUUCUCUACUAUUACAAGGUGAAAUAUGUGUAGGCCUACUAAAUAUUGCGGAUUUGUUCUGAGAGAGAAAAUUUACUGAUCUGAUGUCAUUACGUAUUCUGUGAAAAUCCCACAAUGACAAAAUGUCCAACCUGUAUUCUGAAGUUGUUGGAUAGGAGGAAAGAUGGAGGGUCUUUUCUGUGUGUCGACCUGAAAAUUGACGCCGGCCCUGUUUGAAUACUUAGAAGUGCGUCCAUCCCGUCUCGCUUAAUGACAUGACUGGAUAGUGUGAGUUGUAUUGUCAACCUGUUUCAAAUCUGACUUGAAUAUAACUUUAUUUGAUUUCAUUUAAUUUCUUAUAUGAAAGAACCUUGCUUUCACCUACCAAAUUAUUUCAGACCAUAGAUCAAUUCAAGCAGGAGGGCACUACUUUUUUAAAAUUCAAGUAUUCAAAUGGGGCCACUCACUCACUGCUACAAAGCCUGGCAUCUUACACUUGCAGCGAGGACACAAUCAAGACUGAGCAGUGUUUUCAGAGUGCCUCCAGUCCCGGUCUUUAUUAUCAUUUUUUUAUAUAUAUAAAGUAGUUAUUGAGAACUGUCCUGUAUAUAACAGUAAUGUAGCAAUAAAUGUGCCAUUUUUAAUAACAGAAUUAUACCUUUUUCAAUGUCUGGCUUUUGAAUCUUGUAAACAUGAAAGGAAAUAAAGGAAAACAUUGUAAUAAAGGGU
Oncorhynchus kisutch (coho salmon) is the source of this 7773-nucleotide RNA transcript. It is a transcript of the gene named transcription factor E2-alpha, with no coding region annotated. NCBI's taxonomy places the organism in Eukaryota, Metazoa, Chordata, Actinopteri, Salmoniformes, Salmonidae. The transcript has 19 exons. The record is from RefSeq and is a predicted model, not a curated record.